Molecule: small RNA, 157 nt
Filed under: Streptomyces sp.
Lineage: Bacteria; Bacillati; Actinomycetota; Actinomycetes; Kitasatosporales; Streptomycetaceae
Description: c-di-AMP sequence
Rfam family: c-di-AMP riboswitch aptamer (ydaO/yuaA leader)
About the family: This family represents a conserved RNA structure found upstream of the ydaO and yuaA genes in Bacillus subtilis and related genes in other bacteria. The ydaO/yuaA element is thought to act as a genetic "off" switch for the ydaO and yuaA genes in its native state.
Source: RNAcentral
AACCCAUCCGAACCCACUCACGUUCGGCAGGAGCGGGGGACCCAGGUAAGUCGCCGAUCCGGAAACGGACCGGCUCGGGGUGAAGUCGCAGUCACCUGCGACCGGGCAUCUCCAGCCCGAACCCGACAGCUCACCUCGUAGGCGACGGAGAGGAAUU